This 345-nucleotide unclassified non-coding RNA is filed under the name soil metagenome. Its description in RNAcentral is "partial contains 5.8S ribosomal RNA, internal transcribed spacer 2, and large subunit ribosomal RNA". The stretch from base 1 to 120 matches the Rfam family "5.8S ribosomal RNA", at positions 35 to 154 of the family's 154-position model. The record is from RNAcentral.
GAUGAAGAACGCAGCGAAAUGCGAUAAGUAAUGUGAAUUGCAGAAUUCCGUGAAUCAUCGAAUCUUUGAACGCACAUUGCGCCCCCUGGUAUUCCGGGGGGCAUGCCUGUCCGAGCGUCAUUGCUGCCCUCAAGCACGGCUUGUGUGUUGGGCCUCCGUCCUCCUCCCGGGGGACGGGCCCGAAAGGCAGCGGCGGCACCGCGUCCGGUCCUCGAGCGUAUGGGGCUUCGUCACCCGCUCUUGUAGGCCCGGCCGGCGCUUGCCGACACAUCAAUCUUUUUUCCAGGUUGACCUCGGAUCAGGUAGGGAUACCCGCUGAACUUAAGCAUAUCAAUAAGCGGAGGA